GCGGAGGAAAAGAAACUAACCAGGAUUCCCUUAGUAACGGCGAGUGAACAGGGAAAAGCCCAGCACCGAAGCCUGUGGUCGUUUGGCCCCUAGGCAAUGUGGUGUUCAGGUUAGCUCGCGAAGAUGCUGCUCCACCCUAAGUCCUAUAAUGAGUAAGGUUACUCGGACAUGGCCCAAUGAGGGUGAAAGGCCCGUGGGGGUGGAGAUUC
RNAcentral lists this ribosomal RNA (209 nucleotides) under Fasciola gigantica. RNAcentral's name for it is "partial 28S ribosomal RNA". It matches the Rfam family "Eukaryotic large subunit ribosomal RNA", at positions 50 to 237 of the family's 3401-position model. Lineage: Eukaryota; Metazoa; Platyhelminthes; Trematoda; Plagiorchiida; Fasciolidae. The record is from RNAcentral.